UUUUUUUUUUUUUUUUUUUUUUUUUUUUUUUUUUUGGUUUUUUGAGACAGGGUUUCUCUGUGUAUCACUGGCUGUUCUGGAACUCACUCUGUAGACCAGGCUGGCCUCGAACUCAGAAAUCCACCUGCUUCUUCCUCUCAAGUGCUGGGAUUAAAGGUGUGCACCACCACCACUGCCUGGCCACACCUGAGUUUUACAUCUGCCUGUGGGUCAUGCCAAUAAAACAGUGGGGCCUCAAGGAGAUGGCCCCUCCCCAACAGCUCCAGAACAUAAGUCCUAAGGCAUGCUGGGAGACAGCAAGAGUCUAACAUGUCUAACAACAUACUCUCUACAUUGCCUUUUUUUCUUAAGUCAAGAGACAGUGAACUUGGAGGAAGCCAACGGGUAGGAACUGUGAUCUCUUACCCCCUGGACGCCAGGCGGGAAGACAUAUUGGAUGACAAUGGUGCCAUACUUCUCGUAGCUGGGCAGCAGGAGGGUGGCAUCCUUGGAGACCAGCAUCCGUCCGUUCUGGGGCUGGUUGCCCACAAGCUGCCCGUAGAAUCGGCCGCACAUGGGGCAGGCCUUUUUCACCUGCAGGGCCCGUGUGAUGCAGCCCUCACAGAAGGAGUGCCUGCACUUCUCCAGCGUCUUGGCAUUCUGUAUCUCCCCCAGGCAAAUGGGGCAGGUGGUUUCCUGCUCUUCAGCGUCCUCUCUGAGACGAGGAGGGAGUGGAGGGGGCAGGGGAGGAGGAGGAGGGGGUAGCCCUCUUGCCCCUGGGGGCAGGAGUGGGGCUGCUCGGAGGGGAGGAGGGCCUGGGCGGUGCAGCUCGGGGUGUUCCCCUCCACCCCCCAAAGCCAGGCAGCCCAUGAGCUCCCCCUGCCUCUGGGCUUUCUUUAGCUCUUUCUCUGCCUCUUUCAGUAGCCCCUUGAGAGCCUUCCUGGCCAGGUAGAGCCCAUUGGGAGGGGCUGGGGGAGGACCCUGUGGGGACAGCUGGAGCACGUAGAUGUCAGAAGUCUCGCCAUCUAUGAGGAUGGACACCCGAUGCUCCUCCCGAAGCCGGGCCAGCCGGGCUGGGGUCUCCUUGCUCAGGAAGUCCCACACAGGCUUGGAGACAGUCACUUUGUUCUUGCAGGAGCCUCCACAGGCUGCCAUUCUGGACAGGACGAACGACACUGCCCCCAGGGUGAAAGGGACUCAGAGUGGGGAGUCCCCAUUUGACAGAUAAAUGUGCCUCUUACUUCAGGCUCCUUCUGAACCCCCUGUGUUACCUCUGUUUCCCUCAAAGCCAACCCCCAACACUGCCCACAAACCGGUUGGUUUUCUAUCUCCACUUCUGUCCCAUAGCCCAGCACCCUCUGGGCACAGGUUUCCAUAUUUCAUCGUUAUCUAAGCCAAGCACCAGCCCUGCUUGCUUCUUUCAUUUCUCCCCUGAGCACAACAACCUGCCCCUUCUCCCC
This 1439-nucleotide long non-coding RNA is filed under the name Mus musculus (house mouse). RNAcentral's name for it is "long non-coding RNA chr10:127192203-127193642". Lineage: Eukaryota; Metazoa; Chordata; Mammalia; Rodentia; Muridae. The record is from RNAcentral.